Molecule: long non-coding RNA, 1562 nt
Filed under: Citrus x clementina
Lineage: Eukaryota; Viridiplantae; Streptophyta; Magnoliopsida; Sapindales; Rutaceae
Description: Citrus clementina (C. clementina) long non-coding RNA (CCLE_LNC004712)
Source: RNAcentral
UAUAAAUAUAUUAUAUUUAAAUGGGAGGGGAAAAAAUGAAUAAGUGAGAGUGGAUAUACCCUACACUAUAAAAGUGGAUGGGACCCAUGGAAUUAGGAUUCUCACUUGCAUCCUUAAAUAAACUUGUAAAUACUUUCACUCCAAUAAGUAAACACAUGCUUAAAAGACACCAUGUUAUACUUGUAUAAUAAGUUAUUGAGUUUUUUUCGUGAAAACUAUGUGAAGAUGAGAUAAUUAAGGAUGACAAUUUAACCCAGACCCAGGCGAACCCGAAAAAUCUGGGCCGGGUUCAACCCAUACCGGAACAAAUUAAAUUCGGAUUUAAUUUUAUCAAUCCGAUGUAUCCGGGUUCGGUUUCGGGUUUGGGUGAACCCGUAAAACCGUAACCUGGACCCAUAUAUCUUUAUUUUAAUAUAAAUUGAAAAAUUUUAAAAAAAUCAGCCCAACCCACAUUCACCGCCUCUGCCAAACAUUUUCACUCUCUCCCUUCUCUUCAUCAAAUCAUCGUCGCCACUCGCCAUUGUUUCGCUACUUUAUUGUGUUCAUGUUCAUAAUCAUCAGAGGUGAAGAAGAUCGAUGAAGAAAGAAUAAAAAAUAAUAAAAGAAUACAAAAAUAAAAAACCAAAAAAAAAAGAAGAAGAAAAGGAGAUUAGAAGUGGCCGCGCAAUAAAUGAAGAAGAAAGCAAGAGUGGAGAUGAGAACAAUGACUUGAACAACAUACAUGAUUUUGAAGACCAAAUCUCAUUUCUCACCUUUUCGGUUUUUCUUAACUUAACCCCACAAAGCCCAAUUUGUCAUCAUCAUCACCAAAUUUGUCAUCAUUAUAUUUGAAAAUUGAAUUUUGUAUGCUCUGUUACCUUUGAAUUUAUUUCUAAUUAUUUUAUUUUGAAUUAUUUUCCAUUGUUGUUGGUAAUAGAUUAAAGAUGUAGGAGGAAUUCAAUGAAGAAAAAGAGAAAAUCAUAUCUCUUUAGCAAUCAUCUGGGUUCUAAACCCGGAAUCCAAAAACUUGGAUUUUUUCGGGUUGAACCCCGACCAGACCUGGAGUAAAAAUAUCUAGAUUUAUUUUCAUGUUCGAUAUUUCAAAUUAGGGUUAUUAUCAUUUCACUACUUCAAAAAUUAAAAAAUAUCAAAUGACUACAAGAAAUAUUGUCCCAUAUCAUUUUCCUACUAUAUCAUUAAAAAAAUAUCAUUUUACUAUUUUUCUGUUAGUUGACCAGUUAGUUGACUAACAAAUUACCAAUUUUACCCUUCAUGAUUAAAAAAAAAAAAUACUUGAAGCUUAUUUACAACAUCAGCUCUUCUACAUUUAUUUGGUCAUCCAUGUUUUAUUUCCAACAUUAGGAUAUAAAAAUGGAAUCAUUAAUAGGGAUGGCAAAAUCCUCCACAGGUUUGGGGUCCCAUGGAGCCCCACCCCAAAUGGGAAAAUUUUUUAAUAAUUUUUGGGGAAUGGAAUGGGGAGUGGGAGAAAAGUAAUCCCCAAAUUGUUAACGGGGUGGGGUUUGGUAUUGCACUCCCCACUCCACCCCCAUCCCAAUCCCCAUUAUAUAUAAAUAUGUUUUUAA